AUACGGGGGGUGCAAGCGUUAAUCGGAAUUACUGGGCGUAAAGCGCGCGUAGGCGGUUUGCUCAGUCGGAUGUGAAAGCCCAGGGCUCAACCUUGGAACUGCAUACGAUACUGGCAAACUAGAGUGUGAGAGAGGAUAGUGGAAUUUCCGGUGUAGCGGUGAAAUACGUAGAUAUCGGAAGGAACAUCAGUGGCGAAGGCGACUGUCUGGCUCAACACUGACGCUGAGGUGCGAAAGCGUGGGUAGCAAACAGGAUUAGAUACCCUAGUAGUCC
This 274-nucleotide ribosomal RNA is filed under the name uncultured bacterium. Its description in RNAcentral is "partial 16S ribosomal RNA". It matches the Rfam family "Bacterial small subunit ribosomal RNA", at positions 523 to 796 of the family's 1533-position model. The record is from RNAcentral.